RNAcentral lists this ribosomal RNA (492 nucleotides) under uncultured bacterium. RNAcentral describes it as "partial 16S ribosomal RNA". It matches the Rfam family "Bacterial small subunit ribosomal RNA", at positions 29 to 507 of the family's 1533-position model. The record is from RNAcentral.
AGUGAACGCUGGCGGUAGGCCUAACACAUGCAAGUCGAACGGCAGCACAGUAAGAGCUUGCUCUUACGGGUGGCGAGUGGCGGACGGGUGAGGAAUACAUCGGAAUCUACUUUUUCGUGGGGGAUAACGUAGGGAAACUUACGCUAAUACCGCAUACGACCUACGGGUGAAAGCAGGGGAUCUUCGGACCUUGCGCGAUUGAAUGAGCCGAUGUCGGAUUAGCUAGUUGGUGGGGUAAAGGCCCACCAAGGCGACGAUCCGUAGCUGGUCUGAGAGGAUGAUCAGCCACACUGGAACUGAGACACGGUCCAGACUCCUACGGGAGGCAGCAGUGGGGAAUAUUGGACAAUGGGCGCAAGCCUGAUCCAGCCAUACCGCGUGGGUGAAGAAGGCCUUCGGGUUGUAAAGCCCUUUUGCUGGGAAAGAAAAGCAGCAGGUUAAUACCCCGCUGUUCUGACGGUACCCAAAGAAUAAGCACCGGCUAACUUCGUG